This 253-nucleotide ribosomal RNA is filed under the name uncultured bacterium. Its description in RNAcentral is "partial 16S ribosomal RNA". It matches the Rfam family "Bacterial small subunit ribosomal RNA", at positions 524 to 776 of the family's 1533-position model. The record is from RNAcentral.
UACGGGGGGGGCAAGCGUUGUUCGGAAUUACUGGGCGUAAAGGGUUCGUAGGUGGCCAACUAAGUCAGACGUGAAAUCCCUCAGCUUAACUGGGGAACUGCGUCUGAGACUGGAUGGCUUGAGUGCAGGAGAGGAACGCGGAAUUCCAGGUGUAGCGGUGAAAUGCGUAGAUAUCUGGAGGAACACCGGUGGCGAAGGCGGCGUUCUGGACUGCUACUGACACUGAGGUGCGAAAGCUAGGGGAGCGAACGGG